CUAACUUCUGUAUAAUUUCAGAACUGGGUCGACUUACCACAAUAAACAACACGAUGAAUGACACGUCCGGAGAUAUGAACCACGUGGGCAAAGUCGACGGUGUGUUUACAAACAAAAGUCAGCUGAUCAGUAUAGUACAACUAGACUACACGAGGAAGUCGAAGAUAUUAUGGCCUGAAGAUCCACAGUGUUCGUGGAUGGAGGUGAGGUUCGGUGUGGAACUGAAGAGGGCGUGGUUGCUUUCCUUCCCUCGGUCAGGCAACACGUGGACUCGCUACCUGCUGGAGGCCGCCACGGGACUCUUCACCUCCUCCGUCUACAAUUCCACUCACUUGAGGGGCCUAGGGUACCUGGGAGAGAGUGAGCCUCCAUGGCGGGGUACCACCUUCACUGUCAAGACCCACUCCUUUGAAUCCCUCAUCCGCCACCCUCACCUGCCUGUUGUCGCCAUCAUCAGGAGCCCGGCCAGGGCCAUCCUCUCCUACUGGAACUUAAGCAACAUGAAGCUCGCUUGGAGGAGGUUCAGAGGCUCCGUCAAGGACGCUUCCUACAAGACGGGAGGUUUCCAUAAGUUCGUGAGGGAGAGGUUGGAGAAAUGGAAAUCGACCUACGUUAACGCCCUGAGGAACACCACCCGCCUCCAUCUAGUGUACUAUGAGCAUCUACGAGAGGCGCCCUUGAGGGAGGUUCGUGCUAUUAUGACCUUCCUGGGGAUGAAGCCCUCCGAGUCUCGACUGGCCUGCCUGGCGCGUCACCUGGAAGGGGUGGCCAAGGGUUCCCAGCGGGAGAUGUACCCCUACACUGCCUGGGAGAGGGCCAGCUUCCAGCGUGCCAUUACACAGGUCGACACCCUAGCCAGGCUCCGCGGGUUCCCUCCCCUCCCAGACUAUCGCAGGUAUAGGAACUGAUGAAAAGUAAUCUUGAGGACUCACCUGAGGAAAUCCGAGGCGAUAGAUCUGGAGUCGGGGAGCAGCAUCAGGGAGCCACAGAGUACGAGAGCCACACAACUUACUAAGCAGUUUGGCCCAUUGCCCCAAUGGGCCACUUCUCUGCUGGUGCCAUAGUGAUCUGGCCCUCCCCGGCACUCUCAGACCAGGUAGUGAACAAUGCUACACUCGUUGGCACUCAGAUGGUCCUCAACACCACCCAGAUGGAUAUAACAGGUUCAGAUGGCUUCCCCUAAUAUGUUUGGCGGCGGUGAUGUUCGCAAUCAACAUGGGCGCUCACCCUCUCCCCUUCAUCCUCGCCGCCGAAUAUGUUCCUACUAACGUCCGAGGCCAGGGAGCAAAAUGACUACUUUUAUUCCACACUUCACUAUUAUCUACAUUACUGAAAUGUUACCUUUUAAAAUUCUAUGUUUUUGUUUCUGCAUUCGAAAUCCAGUGAUGUCUUUGUAUGGUUGGGCAGGUGUGAUCGGGUGGUCCUUGUGUUACUCUUCCUGCACCAUCUUCUCCUUCCUGACGCUGCAGUUCCACAGUCCCAUGCAGGAGAUGCUGACGCAGGCAGGACUCUACUGAUUCUACGCCAGUGUCAGCUGCAUUGGUGUCAUAUUUACCUUCAUUUUUGUUGAAGAAACUAAAGGCAAGACAGUUGGUUAAGGAUAAAAGUGUGAACGCUUAUGUCUUGGAUGGCAUUCCUGUUGAGGGACCUGACUGUCGUCCAGUUGAGUAUUCACCUCAGCCGUCUUAUUGUGCUGAGGUCAUGUCAGAAUCAUUUAUACCUGUACACAGCCUCACUGGUUAAUACAUUUUAUAA
RNA transcript from Homarus americanus (American lobster), 1755 nucleotides. It is a transcript of the gene named WSC domain-containing protein 2-like, with no coding region annotated. NCBI's taxonomy places the organism in Eukaryota, Metazoa, Arthropoda, Malacostraca, Decapoda, Nephropidae. The record is from RefSeq and is a predicted model, not a curated record. The transcript has 8 exons.